ACUUAAUGACACAGUUUUCAUUUUGGGGUGAACUAUCCCUUUAAGUUUAGUGUUAACCUUUUGAAAUUAAAAUGUAAAACAAGAUACUACUACUACUAAUAAUAAAAAGUUAAAAUUAUUUGCAGAGCCACUUAGUCUGGGUCAUCCUCCAGGAAACUGGCACACAACAAAGAUCUCAUAAUUACAUGGUCACAGUUUAAAAAUAGUUGAAAUGGCGUGAGGAAAAAGUGACGAAGCAAAACCUGACUCACCUCCACCUGAGCGUCUCUGUAACGUUACAUCACAUCAGACACACCGGAUAAGGAGCUGUUUCAAAAAGUAUUAUGCAAUGCAUACAAUUUGUCUUUGGAAUUUGAGUCAUGUGGUGUUUCUUCAACAGGUUUAGUGAGUUUGAUGCGAUGAGGUCAUCAUGUCAAAUUCAGUAUAAAAAUCCCCAUGCUCGUCCGAUCAGCACACAACGGAUGGUGGAAACAAACACCAGCCUAAAGCAAGACUGAAGACUAUACCCACAUCUACUGCAGUCGAAGCUUCUCUGAGAGAGAUGAAGGUGAAGAUGUUGGCCGUGUUGGCUCUGGUUCUUCUGGUCUCCAGUGCGAGUGAGGGACGGAUUCUCAGUAAAUGUGAGCUGAAGUCCCAACUCGAGGCGGCAUUUGGGGGAAAUCAGGGAGGAAAUGGACCUGCAACUGUCACUAAUGGGCCUGGAAACGUAACUGUGCCUGGAGACAUGCCUGGAAACGUAACUGUGCCUGGAGACAUGCCUGGAAACGUAACUGUGCCUGGAGACAUGCCUGGAAACGUAACUGUGCCUGGAGACAUGCCUGGAAACGUAACUGUGCCUGGAGACAUGCCUGGAAAUGUAACGGUGCCUGGAGACAUGCCUGGAAACGUAACAGUGCCAGGAAAUACAACUGUAAAUCCACUCAUCGCCCAAAUUGUUUGUUCUGUGGAGCAUGUUUCGAAGUUCGACACCAGCCUGGUCACCACCAUCCAAGAAGACCCCAGACCUCCAGUGAGACCUCCAGUGAGACCCCCUGUCAGACCACAACAACAACCCAAUGAAAGACCAGGGGGAAAACCUGGACGUCCCGGCAGAAGGGGAAAGAGAUCUCAUGCUGGGGCACUCAGGAGGCCAGCUGGAUUUUCUCGUGACAAUUCCGAGAGUUCCGAGAGUUCCGAGAGUUCUGAGGAGAAUGUCGCCACAAGACUGUUUGGAAUCUUCCAGCUGAGCGACCGUGUGGCCUGCGAUUCCGGAUCCGGCCAGAGUCUGAACAUCUGCAACAUGAACUGCAGAGCUCUGACUGACGAUGACAUCAGGGAUGACAUCAGGUGCCUGAAGACCCUGCUGGACAGCGCAAGAAAUGCCACUGUUUCAGCCUUCGCUUCUCCACCCAAUAAAAUGUAAGUCAGACAAUUAUAAGAUGGUAUGAGUCAAGAGAAAUACUGACUAGAAAUAUAUUAUUUUAUUUUAUUCAAUACUUGAAAGCAUACAAGUCUUAAUGAAAUACAUUUAUAAAAUAUAUUUCGGACAAUAUACAUAAGAAAUUGGCAAAAAUAUAUGAUGAAAUAGAAGUAACUAAAACUUAUUGGAAAUAUAUUUCUGUACAUAUUUUUACAUUAAUAUUAGCAAUAUAUUUUUAACCACAGAAAUAAGCUUUGCAAGAUGUAACCCUUCUUUUACAAGAUUGUGUUUUUUGUCUUUUAGGCCACUUGUAAUUCUCUCUGUGAACGAGUGCCGCAACAUCAAUCCUGCGCAGUACUUUGCUGAGUGUCGCUGAAACAUUCAACGUUUCUACAGACAUGAAUAUUCUGUUAAAUUUCAUCCCAACGUAUUAUUGUAAUAAACCCUACAGGAACUACUGAUCA
Molecule: long non-coding RNA, 1863 nt
Organism: Cyprinus carpio (common carp)
Lineage: Eukaryota; Metazoa; Chordata; Actinopteri; Cypriniformes; Cyprinidae
Source: Ensembl